CUACCCCAAAAUAUGGUACCCUGGCAUACUGAGUAUUUUAAUACUGGCAUACUCAGUAUGCCAUGUUGCCAUAUUUUGGGGUAGCA
Molecule: microRNA precursor, 86 nt
Organism: Homo sapiens (human)
Lineage: Eukaryota; Metazoa; Chordata; Mammalia; Primates; Hominidae
Product: microRNA 1263
Source: Ensembl